Molecule: long non-coding RNA, 1207 nt
Filed under: Homo sapiens (human)
Lineage: Eukaryota; Metazoa; Chordata; Mammalia; Primates; Hominidae
Description: long independently transcribed non-coding RNA 1890, transcript variant 7 (LINC01890)
Source: RNAcentral
ACUAUGGCAUGGACCCUCAUCCUCGAGCCCCACUACUCAGAGGAGCUGGGAAGAAUUUCCACCCUUCCUAGUGGCAAGUCUCACUGUGAGAGCGGAGUGCCACCAGGCAAACAGGGCAGAAAGACUGCUUUAAGGAGAAUCCUUAUAUUGGGGGUUAUGAAGUGCAAUACACCCUCAUCCUCACGCUAACACUGGUACCAUGUAGCCCAAGCUUGUCUAACCUGCAGCCCGCGGGCUGUGUAUGGCCCAGGACAGCUCUGAAUGUGGCCCAACGCAAAUUUGUAAACUUUCUAAAACAUUAUGAGAUUUUUUUUUCUCAUCAGCUAUCAUCAGUGUGAGUGUAUGUUAUUUGUGACUCAAGACAAUCCUUCUUUUCCAAUGUGGCCCAGAGAAGCCAAAAGACUGGACACCCCUGAUGUGGCCCUUUCAUCCAUAGUAGCCUAUUUUGUCCUAAAGACGGUCUUGUGCAGUGAGUAGGCCAGGCCUCCCCACUACCACAGUUUACAGGCAAGGAAUGUGAUAUUUCAUAGGAUGACCCUGACUGGCACCUACAUUGCUAGCCAAAGAAUGGCACAAAGAUGUGGACAGAAGAGACAACCUUAAGCAGCUGACUGCUGGCUCCUGCAACAGUAUCAUCAUGGCAUUUGUCCUGGGGUCCCAAGGAAAGAAAACAAAUCUGUGGCUGAGGAACAGACUGAGUUGACAAAGCAGCUUCCACAGUAACACAAGGACAAAGGGUGUAUGUAGAUAUGCACGUGGUAGCAGGUUCUACUAAAGGAACCUGGACCGACCAUUCUUAUAUCGUGUAAAGAAAAGCCUUCCAAGGAGAAGCUUUGGGAAGCACUUCUGUAAUGAAUUACAUUGAGAUCUUCAGAGGACAGAAACUUAAUCUCGAGUUAGAGACAUGCUGUCAUUACCAAAACCACGUAUAGAGCAUCUCUCCUCAGUCAGACAAGAACCAAAGGCAACUGACGUGACUGCUCUCUCCUUGGAAGGACGGCAGGAGCCAUGGCGCUGUGAACUCAAACUUCAGGGAGCUUCAGACCCUCCUGCUUGUGACCAUACCCAUGCCUGGGCUCUUGACUAUUUAAAUGUGUUUUGAAAACAACUCUCAUUAUAGAAAUGAAAAGCCUGAAGCUUUCUCAGCAAAAAAGGUUUAACUGAUGAUACUCUACAAAGAAUAAAUACAUCAAUCUAAUUGAACCAA